UACGUAGGUGGCAAGCGUUAUCCGGAUUUACUGGGUGUAAAGGGCGUGUAGGCGGGGAGGCAAGUCAGAUGUGAAAACCACGGGCUCAACCUGUGGCCUGCAUUUGAAACUGUUUUUCUUGAGUGCUGGAGAGGCAAUCGGAAUUCCGUGUGUAGCGGUGAAAUGCGUAGAUAUACGGAGGAACACCGGUGGCGAAAGCGGCUCUCUGGCCUGUAACUGACACUGAGGCUCGAAAGCGUGGGGAGCAAACAGG
RNAcentral lists this ribosomal RNA (253 nucleotides) under uncultured bacterium. RNAcentral describes it as "partial 16S ribosomal RNA". It matches the Rfam family "Bacterial small subunit ribosomal RNA", at positions 524 to 776 of the family's 1533-position model. The record is from RNAcentral.